RNAcentral lists this ribosomal RNA (699 nucleotides) under uncultured bacterium. Its description in RNAcentral is "bacterial SSU rRNA". It matches the Rfam family "Bacterial small subunit ribosomal RNA", at positions 63 to 794 of the family's 1533-position model. The record is from RNAcentral.
CGAACGGCGAGGGAGGUUUACUUUCUCAAGCGAGUGGCGAACGGGUGAGUAACGCGUGAGGACCUGCCUCAAAGAGGGGGACAACAGUUGGAAACGACUGCUAAUACCGCAUAAGCCGGCAUCGGAAAAGGAGCAAUCCGCUUUGAGAUGGCCUCGCGUCCGAUUAGCUAGUUGGUGAGGUAAUGGCCCACCAAGGCGACGAUCGGUAGCCGGACUGAGAGGUUGAACGGCCACAUUGGGACUGAGACACGGCCCAGACUCCUACGGGAGGCAGCAGUGGGGAAUAUUGCACAAUGGGGGAAACCCUGAUGCAGCGACGCCGCGUGGAGGAAGAAGGUCUUCGGAUUGUAAACUCCUGUUGUUGAGGAAGAUAAUGACGGUACUCAACAAGGAAGUGAUGGCUAACUACGUGCCAGCAGCCGCGGUAAAACGUAGGUCACAAGCGUUGUCCGGAAUUACUGGGUGUAAAGGGAGCGCAGGCGGGAAGACAAGUUGGAAGUGAAAUCCAUGGGCUCAACCCAUGAACUGCUUUCAAAACUGUUUUUCUUGAGUAGUGCAGAGGUAGGCGGAAUUCCCGGUGUAGCGGUGGAAUGCGUAGAUAUCGGGAGGAACACCAGUGGCGAAGGCGGCCUACUGGGCACCAACUGACGCUGAGGCUCGAAAGUGUGGGUAGCAAACAGGAUUAGAUACCCUGGUAGU